GUCCCUGUAGCGCAAUGGAUAGCGCGUUGGACUUCUAAUCCAAAGGUUUGUGGGUUUGAAUCCUACCAGGGAUG
Trichonephila inaurata madagascariensis is the source of this 74-nucleotide non-coding RNA. Lineage: Eukaryota; Metazoa; Arthropoda; Arachnida; Araneae; Nephilidae. The record is from the annotation of a GenBank genome assembly.